RNAcentral lists this ribosomal RNA (354 nucleotides) under Triticum aestivum (bread wheat). RNAcentral's name for it is "partial small subunit ribosomal RNA". The record is from RNAcentral. Lineage: Eukaryota; Viridiplantae; Streptophyta; Magnoliopsida; Poales; Poaceae.
AUGCAUAGUCGAAUGGAGAUAUUCAAAAUCUGGACAUUCGUUUGCUUAACUCCAAAUCCAUUCGCGCACGAAGAUCGACUAGAAAAUAAGAAGUAUACCUUAAAUUCAAGCAUGUGUGAUAAAAUAUUUGAUUUGUUGCUGAAAAAUAAUUACUUUAGAAUUCUUGAUCAUCAUGUCAAGCCAUUAAUAAAAGGACGAAUGUAUUGUAAAUUGCAUGAUUCAUCCAAGCAUAAUUUUGAGGAUUGCAACAUGUUUGGUCAAAUAGUCAAAUUGACCAUUGAUAGAGGACAAUUGAAAUUUGUUAAGACACCAAGAGAUGACCAGUCUAUUCCGAUUGGUCCUGAUGGCAAAUGA